This 467-nucleotide ribosomal RNA is filed under the name uncultured bacterium. Its description in RNAcentral is "partial 16S ribosomal RNA". It matches the Rfam family "Bacterial small subunit ribosomal RNA", at positions 28 to 507 of the family's 1533-position model. The record is from RNAcentral.
GACGAACGCUGGCGGCGUGCUUAACACAUGCAAGUCGAACGGAAAGGCCUCUUUCGGGGGGUACUCGAGUGGCGAACGGGUGAGUAACACGUGAGUAACCUGCCCUUGACUUUGGGAUAACUUCAGGAAACUGGGGCUAAUACCGGAUAGGAGCUCCUGCUGCAUGGUGGGGGUUGGAAAGUUUCGGCGGUUGGGGGUGGACUCGCGGCUUAUCAGCUUGUUGGUGGGGGAGUGGCUUACCAAGGCUUUGACGGGUAGCCGGCCUGAGAGGGGGACCGGCCGCAUUGGGACUGAGAUACGGCCCAGACUCCUACGGGAGGCAGCAGUGGGGAAUAUUGCACAAUGGGUGGAAGCCUGAUGCAGCAACGCCGUGUGCGGGAUGACGGCCUUCGGGCUGUAAACCGCUUUCGCUCAUGACGAAGCUUUGUGUGACGGUAGUGGGUAAAGAAGCACCGGCUAACUACGUG